RNAcentral lists this ribosomal RNA (560 nucleotides) under uncultured bacterium. Its description in RNAcentral is "bacterial SSU rRNA". It matches the Rfam family "Bacterial small subunit ribosomal RNA", at positions 224 to 801 of the family's 1533-position model. The record is from RNAcentral.
GAUGAGCCCGCGUCCGAUUAGCUAGUUGGUGGGGUAAAGGCCUACCAAGGCGACGAUCGGUAGCUGGUCUAAGAGGAUGAUCAGCCACAUUGGGACUGAGACACGGCCCAAACUCCUACGGGAGGCAGCAGUGGGGAAUAUUGGACAAUGGGCGCAAGCCUGAUCCAGCCAUGCCGCGUGAGUGAUGAAGGCCCUAGGGUUGUAAAGCUCUUUCACCGGGGACGAUAAUGACGGUACCCGGAGAAGAAGCCCCGGCUAACUUCGUGCCAGCAGCCGCGGUAAUACGAAGGGGGCUAGCGUUGUUCGGAAUUACUGGGCGUAAAGCGCACGUAGGCGGACAUUUAAGUCAGGGGUGAAAUCCCGGGGCUCAACCCCGGAACGGCCUUUGAUACUGGGUGUCUUGAGUUCGGAAGAGGUGAGUGGAAUUGCGAGUGUAGAGGUGAAAUUCGUAGAUAUUCGCAGGAACACCAGUGGCGAAGGCGGCCCCCUGGACAAAGACUGACGCUCAGGUGCGAAAGCGUGGGGAGCAAACAGGAUUAGAUACCCUGGUAGUCCACGCC